RNAcentral lists this transfer RNA (76 nucleotides) under Patescibacteria group bacterium. RNAcentral describes it as "tRNA-Ala". It matches the Rfam family "tRNA". Rfam says of the family: Transfer RNA (tRNA) molecules are approximately 80 nucleotides in length. Their secondary structure includes four short double-helical elements and three loops (D, anti-codon, and T loops). The record is from RNAcentral.
GGGCCCGUAGCUUAGUUGGUAGAGCGCCGCUUUUGCACAGCGGAGGUCAGCGGUUCGAAUCCGCUCGGGUCCACCU